CAAAAGCGAUGUGUUUGAACACCAGGGUUUCAAAGUAUCUUUGAUUUGGAAGUAUUUACUAUAUUCAUAGUUCAGUUAUGAACUCCUUAACAAGUACAGAAAGUAUUAAUAUUGAUUGUUUGUUUGUUAGUAUAUAUUUGUCAAUAUUGAGUGAAUUGAUUAUUGAAACCUAUAGUUAUUCAUUGGAAAAAAUCACGAUUGCUCAUUCGUUUCACUGGAGAGAAAUCACUAGCCAUUGUAGUUCACAACAUACAAUUAGAUGCGAAAGUUAUCAUUGAUUCAUAUUUUUCGGAUAAACCGACGACCUAUCAUGGAUCUCUUCAAUAUUGGGAACAGCUCUAAAUAUCCCAAAGGGCAAAAUCUGGUAAAUACGGCGGCUGAGGCAUGAUUGUUGUUUUUGGCCAAAAAUUUACUAACAAGUAAUUCUCAACAUUGAUUAAGACGCGAAGAUUUAUUAUUGAUUCAUAUUUUUCGGAUAAUAAAGUGCCUAAAAAGCAAUAUCAAAUCAAAUUGAAUCAUGACGCCAUCCUCUUUUCCAGCGAAAAUUGGGAAUAUCUCAGUGCUUUUCAUAAAAAUAUUGAAAAUUUCAAUCGAAAGAAAGUAGAUGAUUUUCAACAUGAAUUCACCAGAACCUAUAGUGUAGGUGGUUGGGACAGAUGAAUGAUUUGUUAUUUCAUUUCAAUAAAAAACGGUUUUCAAGUUC
This is a long non-coding RNA of Leptinotarsa decemlineata (Colorado potato beetle), 703 nucleotides long. RefSeq lists it as uncharacterized. NCBI's taxonomy places the organism in Eukaryota, Metazoa, Arthropoda, Insecta, Coleoptera, Chrysomelidae. The record is from RefSeq and is a predicted model, not a curated record.